RNAcentral lists this ribosomal RNA (429 nucleotides) under uncultured bacterium. RNAcentral describes it as "bacterial SSU rRNA". It matches the Rfam family "Bacterial small subunit ribosomal RNA", at positions 355 to 776 of the family's 1533-position model. The record is from RNAcentral.
UGGGGAAUUUUGGACAAUGGGGGAAACCCUGAUCCAGCCAUUCCGCGUGAGUGAAGAAGGCCUUCGGGUUGUAAAGCUCUUUCGGCAGGAACGAAACGGUGAGCUCUAACAUAGCUUGCUAAUGACGGUACCUGAAGAAGAAGCACCGGCUAACUACGUGCCUGCAGCCGCGGUAAUACGUAGGGUGCGAGCGUUAAUCGGAAUUACUGGGCGUAAAGCGUGCGCAGGCGGUUUUGUAAGACAGGUGUGAAAUCCCCGGGCUUAACCUGGGAACUGCGCUUGUGACUGCAAGACUAGAGUGUGGCAGAGGGGGGUGGAAUUCCACGUGUAGCAGUGAAAUGCGUAGAGAUGUGGAGGAACACCGAUGGCGAAGGCAGCCCCCUGGGUCAACACUGACGCUCAUGCACGAAAGCGUGGGGAGCAAACAGG